Non-coding RNA from Papio anubis (olive baboon), 117 nucleotides. The record is from Rfam. NCBI's taxonomy places the organism in Eukaryota, Metazoa, Chordata, Mammalia, Primates, Cercopithecidae.
GCCGGGUGUGGUGGCUCACGCCUAUAAUCCCAGCACUUUGGGAGGCUGAGGUGGGAGGAUUGCUUGAGCCCAGGAGUUUGAGACCAGCCUGGAUAACAUAGCAAGACCCCACCUCUA